RNAcentral lists this ribosomal RNA (869 nucleotides) under uncultured Weissella sp. RNAcentral's name for it is "bacterial SSU rRNA". It matches the Rfam family "Bacterial small subunit ribosomal RNA", at positions 28 to 850 of the family's 1533-position model. The record is from RNAcentral. Lineage: Bacteria; Bacillati; Bacillota; Bacilli; Lactobacillales; Lactobacillaceae.
GAUGAACGCUGGCGGCGUGCCUAAUACAUGCAAGUCGAACGCAUUGUGGUUGAAAUGAUAUGAAGAACUUGUUCAGAUUUGAUUUUCAACAUUGCAAUGAGUGGCGAACGGGUGAGUAACACGUGGGAAACCUACCUCUUAGCAGGGGAUAACAUUUGGAAGCAAAUGCUAAUACCGUAUAAUAAUUAAAACCGCAUGGUUUUAGUUUAAAAGAUGGUCUUGCUAUCACUAAGAGAUGGUCCCGCGGUGUAUUAGUUAGUUGGUGAGGUAAUGGCUCACCAAGACAAUGAUACAUAGCCGAGUUGAGAGACUGACCGGCCACAAUGGGACUGAGACACGGCCCAUACUCCUACGGGAGGCAGCAGUAGGGAAUCUUCCACAAUGGACGAAAGUCUGAUGGAGCAACGCCGCGUGUGUGAUGAAGGGUUUCGGCUCGUAAAACACUGUUGUAAGAGAAGAAUGACAUUGAGAGUAACUGUUCAAUGUGUGACGGUAUCUUACCAGAAAGGAACGGCUAAAUACGUGCCAGCAGCCGCGGUAAUACGUAUGUUCCAAGCGUUAUCCGGAUUUAUUGGGCGUAAAGCGAGCGCAGACGGUUAUUUAAGUCUGAAGUGAAAGCCCUCGGCUCAACCGAGGAAUUGCUUUGGAAACUGGAUAACUUGAGUGCAGUAGAGGAAAGUGGAACUCCAUGUGUAGCGGUGAAAUGCGUAGAUAUAUGGAAGAACACCAGUGGCGAAGGCGGCUUUCUGGACUGUAACUGACGUUGAGGCUCGAAAGUGUGGGUAGCAAACAGGAUUAGAUACCCUGGUAGUCCACACUGUAAACGAUGAGUGCUAGUUGUUCGAGGGUUUCCGCCCUUGAGUGACGAA